GGGGGUAUAGCUCAGUUGGGAGAGCACCUGCCUUGCACGCAGGGGGUCAAGGGUUCGAGUCCCUUUAUCUCCA
RNAcentral lists this transfer RNA (73 nucleotides) under Candidatus Arthromitus sp. SFB-mouse-Japan. RNAcentral describes it as "tRNA-Ala". It matches the Rfam family "tRNA". From Rfam's summary of the family: Transfer RNA (tRNA) molecules are approximately 80 nucleotides in length. Their secondary structure includes four short double-helical elements and three loops (D, anti-codon, and T loops). The record is from RNAcentral. Lineage: Bacteria; Bacillati; Bacillota; Clostridia; Eubacteriales; Clostridiaceae. RNAcentral also lists the same sequence under 5 other names.